Melopsittacus undulatus (budgerigar) is the source of this 2986-nucleotide RNA transcript. It is a transcript of the gene named sorting nexin 16, with no coding region annotated. The record is from RefSeq and is a predicted model, not a curated record. NCBI's taxonomy places the organism in Eukaryota, Metazoa, Chordata, Aves, Psittaciformes, Psittaculidae. The transcript has 9 exons.
AAGGAGGCGAGCGCGGCGGGCAGCAGAUCCUUUGAUUUGUUGCAAAUCUGGACUCAGUUGGAUUCUUCUAUUGAUAGGGAUUUAAUCCCACACCUCCCAGGACCAUGAUUGGGUGGGGCAUUCCUAAUGCUGGUAACAUGAAAGCGUCACUGAAGUGGCAAAUACUGCUCUUGAAAAGAGGAGAAAACAUGACUUAUACAUUGAAUGAACCUUAAACUCCUGGGCCAAAAACUGAAUCUUUUUUUCAUGAAGGAUGGCAACACCAUACGUUCCUGUUCCUAUUCCUAUUGGAAGCUCCUCAUCCAGCUUUACAAACAGAAACCAAAGAAGUUCUUCUUUUGGGAGCAUCUCAACGAGUUCCAGUUCCUCAAAAGGACAGUUGGAGGACUCUACAAUUGGUAGUUUUAAAAAGAUGAGUGUGCCUGACCAGAUUGGUUCUACAUCAUCUGCGUGUAAUAGUCCACUUGUUAGGACUAAAUUUACAGGUAUGGACACAUCCAUAGAAUACUGUACGCAGCCUUCAGAAGAAAUAGAGCAGAAUACAGAUUCCAGGAGCUGGGAAGAUCGACCGUCCACGCCUACUAUACUGGGUUAUGAGGUGAUGGAGGAAAGGGCAAAAUUCACUGUAUACAAAAUACUGGUAAAAAGAAGUCCCGAUGAAAGUUGGGUGGUUUUCAGACGAUACACUGACUUCUCCAGGCUUAAUGACAAGCUAAAAGAUAUGUUUCCGGGCUUUCGAUUGGCCCUUCCACCAAAGCGAUGGUUCAAGGAUAAUUAUAAUCCUGACUUCUUGGAAGAUCGACAGCUGGGCCUACAAGCAUUCCUUCAGAACCUAGUAGCUCACAAAGAUAUUGCAAACUGCCUUGCAGUGAGAGAAUUUCUUUGUCUGGAUGAUCCUCCAGGUCCUUUUGACAGUCUAGAAGAGAGCAGGGCUUUCUGUGAAACUCUGGAGGAAACAAAUUACCGUCUACAAAAAGAACUGCUUGAGAAACAAAGGGAGGUUGAGUCGCUGAAGAAAUUGUUACAUGAAAAGCAACUUCAUAUAGAUGCUGUUGAAAGAAGAAUUAGGAAAAAUGACUCGUCAAAUGUCAGGAGAAGGAAGUGAGUGCAGUGGUGAAGUGGAGUCUUCUGCAGUAGAAGCAGACCAGGGUACCCUGGGUGAGGACAGCUGCUCAGAUAAAGAGAACCAUGAUGCAUGCUGGAGUGGCUCUUUGCCUGAAAAGUCUGUACCAGAAAUUGAAGUUGCUGAAGUAGCAUAUAAUGCUGAUGAAGAAGAAUAGAUCAGUAGCAAGCUGCUGGUACCUGGGAAAGCUUCAUGUUUGGAACAUACUGUUUGGGUAGGGCAUAGAGUAGCUGUGAGGAAUUUACAGCAAAGAGCAAGAAUGCACAUACUGAAUGUUUACAUAAAUCUUUACAAAUUAUUAACAUAAGAAAUAUACCCAUUGCUGCUUUGAUUUCAGUUUUUAUCUAGCCUUUUAUAUAUUUAAUAUAUUAAAGUCUAAUAAGGGCUAAAAUCAGCUGAAGUUUCGAUAGUGUACAUGCACAAUUUGGCUGACUUCCCUAGCAGGGUGACAAAAGCUUCACAUUGAAUCACCAACCAUCUAACUAGUAUGUCAUCUGUUGCCACUGAUGUGACACACUUGAUGUGUUCAUCUGUUCUAUAUUUGUGUUUUUGUAUUCUUAUAGCCAUAAGUUAGUGUUUGUUGAAGUAAAAACAGACUCAUCUUUUGUUUAAUAAGAGUGUAGAAUACGUUGGUUUUAAAUUCUGAAGUUGAAGGAUAUUUCUCUGGAAAUUUUAAUCCAAUACAAUAGGAACCCUGACAGUACCAAGAGAAGAGUACUUACGAAAUGGGUUUGUAGUUGGACAUCUUAAGAAGCCUGGUCAUUUUUGCUGAAGGAACUAAUACGAGACCCCCAAAACACUGUGUAUUUUCAUCCCAAGAGAGCAUGCUGUAAUACUUUUGUUUGGUAAUGCUGCUUUGAAAAUCUGGGAUACCUUUGCUAUAUAUAUACCCAUGUAACAAUAAAAUCUGUGAGUUUGCCUUUUACUUGGAACACUACCUCUUACCAUCUUGUUAAUGCAUUCAUGUUUGUUUAAAAAUAUUCCAGAUUAUAUGGAGGUUAUUGAAAGACUUGUAAAGAAGCCAUAUUAUUUUCCUGCACAAUUCAUAACUAGAUUGAAUCUAGUUGCAAUGUAUUUUUGUUUCAAUAUAUUGUACACAUGGGGAUAAUUCUACAUGUGUUCUAUAGCCUAUUUUUCAAAAUGUAUUAAGACAGGAGAUGCACUUUAUAAUUAAAACUCCAUUGUGCCAAGUUCAGUUGGCUAAUUGGUUGAGAAAGGGGAGUUGCAGGGAGAGGAUUAUGUAGUGCCUUUUUGUAUUUUACUUGUUCAUUACUGCAGAAUUUUGUUACAGUGCUCUGGGUCAGUUCUGUGGAACCUUUGAUACAGCUUGUUUCUGUUCCUCACUUAUUUACUGAAAGUGCCUUGUUUUAUUCUGCUUUUUCAAUAGGAAGAAUGCUGUUUUGUUUUAAUUUGGAUUUUUUUUCACCCUAUACCACCCACAUUGCUGUUUAAUGUUGUCAAUAUGCAGUGUCUUUGUGCUGGAGUUUUCAAAGGGAGCUUUGUACUUCAGGCUGUGCAUACAAUGACCUUUAUGCAGAACUGUAUAAACCUUCCUGGUGAAAUAAAGCUAUGGAAAAAACACCUGUCUUCUUUUUUCCAUUGUAGGAAAAAAUGUUCAAUGCCUUGUCUAGUAAAGGAUAAAAAUACUAUUAGAGACAUUUUUACCUCAGUGAUUUCUUACAGUUACUCUUUGGUCUAUGUUCUGUUUGUACCAAAAAUGUCUGCAUGGAAAAGAAUGCGAAUGCUGUAAUGACACCAGAAAACUUGCUGUACUUGAAGUUUAAAAAGGAACUGAUCUUUUUUUAAUAUUCUACAUGAAUCCUCACAGAUGUCAAGUGAACUCAAUAAAGUUUUCACACCUUA